UAGAAUUGACGGGACCCGCACAAGCAGCGGAGCGUGUGGUUUAAUUCGUUGCUACACGAAGAACCUUACCUGGGUUUGACAUAUAGGUUGUAGGGAACUGAAAGGGACCGACCCUUCGGGGAGCCUAUACAGGUGUUUGCAUGGCUGUCGUCAGCUCGUGUCGUGAGAUGUUCGGUUAAGUCCGCUAACGAGCGCAACCCUCGUCGUAUGUUAUAUGUGUCAUACGAGACUGCCGGUAAAAAGCCGGAGGAAGGUGAGGAUGAUGUCAAGUCAGCAUGACCUUUAUAUCCAGGGCUACACACACGCUACAAUGGUCUGUACAAUGGGUAGCCAAGCCGCGAGGCGGAGCCAAUCCUGAAAGCAGGCCUCAGUUCAGAUUGCAGUCUGCAACUCGACUGCAUGAAGCCGGAGUUGCUAGUAACCGCAGGUCAGCAAUACUGCGGUGAAUACGUUCCCGGGGCUU
This 463-nucleotide ribosomal RNA is filed under the name uncultured Anaerolineaceae bacterium. Its description in RNAcentral is "bacterial SSU rRNA". It matches the Rfam family "Bacterial small subunit ribosomal RNA", at positions 907 to 1382 of the family's 1533-position model. Lineage: Bacteria; Bacillati; Chloroflexota; Anaerolineae; Anaerolineales; Anaerolineaceae. The record is from RNAcentral.